UACGUAGGAUGCAAGCGUUGUCCGGAUUUACUGGGCGUAAAGAGCGCGCAGGCGGUCGAUCAAGUCGAGUGUGAAAGCCCCCGGCUCAACUGGGGAGGGUCAUUCGAUACUGAUCGACUCGAAGGCAGGAGAGGGUAGUGGAAUUCCAGGUGUAGCGGUGAAAUGCGUAGAUAUCUGGAGGAAUACCGGUGGCGAAGGCGGCAUCCUGGACCGGCAUUGACGCUGAGGAGCGAAAGCCAGGGGAGCAAAGCGGG
Molecule: ribosomal RNA, 254 nt
Filed under: uncultured bacterium
Lineage: Bacteria
Description: partial 16S ribosomal RNA
Rfam family: Bacterial small subunit ribosomal RNA
Source: RNAcentral